This 875-nucleotide ribosomal RNA is filed under the name uncultured archaeon. Its description in RNAcentral is "bacterial SSU rRNA". It matches the Rfam family "Archaeal small subunit ribosomal RNA", at positions 21 to 903 of the family's 1478-position model. The record is from RNAcentral.
CCUGACUGCUAUCGGAUUGAUACUAAGCCAUGCGAGUCUUUGUAGUAAUACAAGGCAGACGGCUCAGUAACACGUAGUCAACCUACCCUAUGGACGAGAAUAAUCUCGGGAAACUGAGCAUAAUUCUUGAUAGAUCAUAAUGCCUGGAAUGGUUUAUGAUUAAAAUGAUUCGUCGCCAUAGGAUGGGACUGCGGCCUAUCAGCUUGUUGGUGAGGUAAUGGCCCACCAAGGCGAUUACAGGUACGGGCUCUGAGAGGAGAAGCCCGGAGAUGGGUACUGAGACACGGACCCAGGCCCUAUGGGGCGCAGCAGGCGAGAAAACUUUGCAAUGUGCGAAAGCACGACAAGGUUAAUCCGAGUGAUUUCUGCUAAAGAAAUCUUUUGCCAGUCAUAAAACCACUGGUGAAUAAGGGGUGGGCAAGUUCUGGUGUCAGCCGCCGCGGUAAAACCAGCACCUCAAGUGGUCAGGAUGAUUAUUGGGCCUAAAGCAUCCGUAGCCUGCUUUGUAAGUUUUCGGUUAAAUCCAUGUGCUCAACGCAUGGGCUGCCGAAAAUACUGCAUAGCUAGGGAGUGGGAGAGGUAGACGGUACUCAGUAGGUAGGGGUAAAAUCCUUUGAUCUAUUGAUGACCACCUGUGGCGAAGGCGGUCUACCAGAACACGUUCGACGGUGAGGGAUGAAAGCUGGGGGAGCAAACCGGAUUAGAUACCCGGGUAGUCCCAGCUGUAAACGAUGCAGACUCGAUGAUGCAUUGGCAUAUAGCCAGUGCAGUGUCGCAGGGAAGCCGUUAAGUCUGCCGCCUGGGAAGUACGUACGCAAGUAUGAAACUUAAGGGAAUUGGCGGGGGAGCACCACAAGGGGUGAAGCCUGCGGUUC